This is a small nuclear RNA of Phyllostomus discolor (pale spear-nosed bat), 107 nucleotides long. The record is from RefSeq and is a predicted model, not a curated record. NCBI's taxonomy places the organism in Eukaryota, Metazoa, Chordata, Mammalia, Chiroptera, Phyllostomidae.
GUGCUCGCUUUGAGAGCACAUAAACUAGAAGUGGAACGGUGCAGGGGAUAUUAUCGUGGCCCCCAUGCAAGGAGGACAUAGAAAUCUGUGAAGCGUCCCACAUUUAA